UACAGAGGUCUCAAGCGUUGUUCGGAUUCAUUGGGCGUAAAGAGCUCGUAGGCGGUUCGGCAAGUCGGGUGUGAAAACUCCAGGCUCAACCUGGAGACGCCACCCGAUACUGCUGUGACUCGAGUCCGGUAGGGGACCACGGAAUUCCUGGUGUAGCGGUGAAAUGCGCAGAUAUCAGGAGGAACACCGGUGGCGAAGGCGGUGGUCUGGGCCGGAACUGACGCUGAGGAGCGAAAGCGUGGGGAGCGAACAGG
RNAcentral lists this ribosomal RNA (254 nucleotides) under uncultured bacterium. RNAcentral describes it as "partial 16S ribosomal RNA". It matches the Rfam family "Bacterial small subunit ribosomal RNA", at positions 524 to 776 of the family's 1533-position model. The record is from RNAcentral.